AGCGAACGCUGGCGGCAGGCUUAACACAUGCAAGUCGAGCGGGCACUUUCGGGUGUCAGCGGCGGACGGGUGAGUAACGCGCGGGAACGUGCCCUCUGGUUCGGAAUAACUCAGGGAAACUUGAGCUAAUACCGGAUACGCCCUUUUGGGGAAAGGCUUGCUGCCGGAGGAUCGGCCCGCGUCUGAUUAGCUAGUUGGUGAGGUAACGGCUCACCAAGGCGACGAUCAGUAGCUGGUCUGAGAGGAUGAUCAGCCACACUGGGACUGAGACACGGCCCAGACUCCUACGGGAGGCAGCAGUGGGGAAUAUUGGACAAUGGGCGCAAGCCUGAUCCAGCCAUGCCGCGUGAGUGAUGAAGGCCUUAGGGUUGUAAAGCUCUUUUAUCCGGGACGAUAAUGACGGUACCGGAGGAAUAAGCCCCGGCUAACUUCGUG
This 435-nucleotide ribosomal RNA is filed under the name uncultured bacterium. RNAcentral's name for it is "partial 16S ribosomal RNA". It matches the Rfam family "Bacterial small subunit ribosomal RNA", at positions 29 to 507 of the family's 1533-position model. The record is from RNAcentral.